CAGUUCCUCAAGUGUCCACUAGAGGCUGGCUGUAGAAGCACAGGAAGUCACAUACACACCCAUUCUAAAAAGAUAGUUAAGAGGUAGUAAACAGGAAGUGAACAUGUAGUAACCAGGAAGUAAACAGGGAGAAAACAGGAAGUGAACAGGGAGUAAACAGGAAGUAAACAGGUAGUAAACAGGAAAUAAACAAGAAGUAGUAAACAGGAAGUGAACAGGGAGUAAACAGGAAGUGAACAGGUGGUAAACAGGAAAUAAACAAGAAGUAAACAGGAAG
Labrus mixtus (cuckoo wrasse) is the source of this 277-nucleotide long non-coding RNA. RefSeq lists it as uncharacterized. Lineage: Eukaryota; Metazoa; Chordata; Actinopteri; Labriformes; Labridae. The record is from RefSeq and is a predicted model, not a curated record. The transcript is spliced from 3 exons.